Molecule: non-coding RNA, 8502 nt
Organism: Podarcis lilfordi (Lilford's wall lizard)
Lineage: Eukaryota; Metazoa; Chordata; Lepidosauria; Squamata; Lacertidae
Source: the annotation of a GenBank genome assembly
CCUUUUCAGCUGAUAACAAGACUCUGGGCAAAUGUAAAGCAUAGCUGGCAUUUUCCAGAGUGAACAGCUCCUGCCCUGUUGAAUUUCUGCCUAUUCUGAAGCCCUGAAUAGAAAAAGUUCUGCCAGAGAAAGGAAGGGGAAAGGCUGCAGCCCAGUGACAGAGCACUUGAAACAAAAAUUGUUUGAGAGAAAACAAAGGCUUGGCAUCUGUUGUCAGACUCCAUCUCCCAUCAGCCCAAGCAAGCACGACAAAUGGUCAGGAAUGGUAAGUUUUAUCAUCCAACAGCAUCGUUUGCUACUUUGGGGAUCAUAGGCACCUUGUCCUGAAUUCUUCCAGUAUGUUCUGCCUCCUGAGUCAAUGUUUUUCACCUGUUUCCCAUUAGUUGACCUUGGGAUUAUAGUAACAAAAGAAGAAGCAGAUAUAAAUAAAGUCGAUUGCACAAGCCUAGCAUCUGCCAACACUUGAAGCAGAGGGCAGCUGUCGCUCAUUGUCAUUUCUGCCAUUGCUAUUCACUUCCACAAUCCCUUCUGGGCCAAACAAUAAACAUCAGGGAGAAGAAGCAGCAGGACUCAGAUGCUCUCAGUGGUGGGAUCUUUUCUGUGAGGUGGCACCUUGGCAGGUGCUCAGCCAUUUUGACCUCUGGUGCCAGUUCCAGGCAUUCUCUACACCUUUUGGGGAAAAAGAACCACACGGCACUACAUAAUUCUUGCUCAAUCUCCGUGUUUCUCUUUGGAGACAAACAUCACCCAGCUACAAAAGAAUGGUUAGCAUGGUUCUGUUAAAACGAUUUGAUAAAUAGAUGCAUUAACUAAAAAUUAACUAUUAAUUGACCAAGUGGGGAAAAAAGAAUGCUUAAGAUUAAUGAAGGAAUUUCAUUUGAAAUGCAAGCAUUGUUGUGGUUUGGCUGAUAAUUCAUUUCAUUUCUUGUAACAGAUGGCAAUGGUAGCUUAUAAGAUAAGAGCACGGAAACAAGAUGUUAAUAAAUAUUGAACAAAAAAUACAAGUAGUACUAAAGAGAAUCAUUGCUGAUCCUUGCUUUGUAAUAAUGGAGGAUCUUUCAGGAAAUAAAAGAUUUUAAACAGCUAUAAUUCUAAUUCUUUGUGAUUGUUCUCUGGCAAUUUCAUCAGUAUAAAACCCAUGUAUACGCACUUACCUGGGAUUCCCAGAGACUUGGGUAGCUUCCAGACACCCUCCUUAUUAAGCAUUUAUUCUGACAUGUUUGCAGAAAGUUUAUGUGGAGGUAAUAGGAUGUCUGCUGCUUAUAGAGCAUUCGUUCUCAUUUGUUUGCAGGGAAAUUACAUGAUGUUCCGUCAAGCUAACGUUACAACACAAUUUCCAGUGCAUAUUCCUGUCACCUUCCUUACAGCAGUUGAUUUUUUUAAAAAAAUUGGUUUGUUGCAAGAGCAACAAAUCCACUUUAAUUCUUCAACCUUAAUUUGUUGGUAUGUGAUUUAAUCAUCCCUCAAAAUAGCAACAGCCUAGAUGUGGCCUUACUCCCUCUGCCCCAAGGUAGCUUUCAGAUGAUCACUAAAUUGCAGGAGCAAUUCAGUCACAUACUUGGAAAUGUAGAUUCGCCUACUUUAAAUGGAUUUAAUAAACUCCGGCAGUAUUGUGCAACAAAUGUCAUUCAAAAAGCAAACAAAAAUACUUUUUUCAGCAAGGAAAGUGAUGGUAAAAUGCCCUAGAAAGUGUGGGAUAGCAACUGAUUUGCAGGGAACCAUAUAACUUCUCUGCAAACAAAUAAAGAUGAAUGCUCAGUAAACAGUGGACAGCAUAGAGUGUCUUCAUAAACUCUGUGCAAACAAGUCAGAAUUACUUCUCAAUAAAAUAGGUCAACUGGAAGCAACCAUAAUAGUUCAGUUUGUGGGUUGGGUUUUUUCUUGCAAUAAGAACUAGCAGCAAUAAAAGGAAAAUAUGCCCUCCCAAUCAAUAAUACAUUUUUAUUUUUUUGCAGUAAACCUUUUUGCAGAAAAUGGGAAAUAGUAAUGCUUUUUAAAAUAAUAAUAAUAAUAAUAAUAAUAAUAAUAAUAAUAAUAAUACAUUUUAUCUAUACCCCACCCUUCCCAGCCAAGACCGGGGUCAGGGCAGCUAACAACCGAUAAUAAAAACAAGUUGAUUGAAAUGCAACUUAAAAAACAAGAUUAAAAUAAAAAAAUCUUCCAGGUUUCACUCCUGCCACCCAUGUAAGCAAAAAUACCUCAUUUUUUUGUUUGGUUUUUGUUUACUUUUUAUUUCUACUUUAGAACACAUAGCAAGGAUUUGGACCACAUAGCUCUGGCACCAAAAGGUUAACAGGUUAUGAAAAUCACAGUACAGUUUUUAAAAUUCUUCAGAUAAGUCAAUGAUAUUUAAAAUGAUAGCCACUUUUUUCUUUCUUUCUUUUUUUAUAGUAAAGAUAUAAAUUAGAGGUCUGUAAACGAGUCGUGUUUACCUACAGAGCUAUCAACUCGCAGCUACAAUGAGAGCAGCAAUAGAAAGUCAAUGCUAAACUGAGCUAGGUCAGGAAACAAGUUCUUAAUCAACAGUGCGAUACAGGGAAAUACGAUAGGUCAAAUUACAGUUUUGGCACCUUAUGCUGAAUGUCAUCAAUAAUAAAAAAUAUAGUAAUAACCAGGCAAAAAUGAAAUGAAAUGAAAUAAGUGCACUGUCUUGGAACCAAGAUAAAACCAGCCAUUUCUCAGGUUGUUUCUACAAGUGGACACUAUGAAAUUAACCACACCCUACACAAGUUGGACCUCAAAAACUACAGUUCUAGGAAAGCAGGAAUAUUAAAAUGCACACCCACAAGGAUAUUAAAGUAUAAAUCGUCCCCCUUGACACCCCCCCAUGCCCUGUUAGUAGAAAUAAUUUACAAUCCACAAAGGGACUUCUGGGCAAAUCAUUAACUACAGACAUUAAUGGAAUGUAGCUUAGACUUGUUUCAUAUAGAAAGGCAGCGUUACCCUGAAAAAAGUUUGGUCCUCUUUAAACUCAUUGCAGUGCAGCCAUUACAGACAGUCCCAUGGUAGAUGCUUUAAAGUAUUUCUUAAAUACAGCUUAGAGACACUGGGGGGGGGGGUUGGAGAGAGGGAAAAUGGCCCCAUUUAGGUUUGCUUGGCAAGAGUCUGAAAGAACCAAGUAGCAAGAGGAGGAAAUCAGGGCAAAUCCUCGUUUGGUGAUCCCACAGUAUCUCGUUUUGUGCAAUUGUUAUCGAAACUUUCCUUUCUGUUUUUCUUCCUCUUCUAACCCCGCCCUUCAUUUAGUACCACAGAAAACAAAACCCUCAGUCAAUGACAGGAAAGACAUUUCACUCUUUAUUUACAAGAGAGUCACUUUGGCUAGAAGGUCCCAGCUCAGACAGAAACGUUUCUAAUCUUUGUGUAUAUCCUCGUGGCGUAUAAUUUUGUACGUAAUCCAGUAAAAUAUAUUGAAGAUGAGAAAGGCCAGCGGGAAGGCCGCUCGGGAUAUGGUGUCGAUCCUUUUGGCACGGUCCACAAACCUCUUUUUGAUGGAAUCGGAAUCCUUUGGCGGCGGGGGCGGGGGCAGGGGCGGGUUGGGAGGCGUGGCUUUGAUGGCAGCGCCAUCUUUCACCUGGAGGCAGUGACCCAUCCCAUAGCCGCCAAAGUUAAACCGGCUGUCGCGAGCAGCAUCUUCAUCCUGGAGGGUAAGCAACGGAAGGGAAAGGCGGUUAAUCGUCUAUGCAAAUCUCAUUUAAGUUUUCACCCUUAGCUGUUGAGCAAGAGCUCUGUUCAUAAUAUCGCUUUCCAAAUGGGCAGCGCCACAAUAUUUCCGACAAAAGAACACUUGGAUAUCCUCUAAUUCUAUUGAUUUCGCCAAUGGAGUGGUGGACAGAUGUCAUGACCAGACCAUAGGACCAUAGGAAACGGCCUUGCCCCAUUUAGUUCAGUACUGGCAGUGAACAUACCCUUCAGCAAGCCCAGGCCAAAAACUGUGAUGCACGUCUUCUGAGCUGUGUUCUCAGGCAAGUCAUGUGACCUGUGUGAAAGUACGGAGGCCCAAAACACAUGUGUUUGGGGCCCUGUGUUCUCACAUGUUUUUGAGUGCCAUGCUUUCAUGUGAGAGCUCAGGGCCCCCAAACAGGAUGUCCCAAUUUAAUUAGGGCAGUUGAGCGGUAUCCAUGAAAAGCAUUGAAGAAGAAGAGAAGAAGAGUUUGGAUUUGAUAUCCCACUUUAUCACUACCCGAAGGAGUCUCAAAGUGGCUAACAUUCUCCUUUCCCUUCCUCCCCCACAACAAACACUCUGUGAGGUGAGUGGGGCUGAGAGACUUCAAAGAAGUGUGACUAGCCCAAGGUCACCCAGCAGCUGCAUGUGGAGGAGCGGAGACGUGAACCCGGUUCCCCAGAUUAUGAAUCUACCGCUCUUAACCACUACACCACACUGGCAUUGGGAGACCUUGGGCCAGUCACUAUCUGCCAGCCCAACCUACCUCACAUGGUUGCUGUGAAAAUGAGAUAACUCCCCAUGUGUGGCAUGUUAAGCUUCUCAAAGAUGGAUUAUGAGUAGCAGUUUUAAUAUUAUGCAAAACAACACUGGCCUCCUCAAAACAAUCCUAAGAACUGUUAUUCUGUAAAGGGUGCUGAGAAACUUGCUUUUAGAGGUUUCUUUCUCUUUCUCAACAACAGCCCCUUUGCAAUGUCCUGUACUGACAAAAUAUGAAGCCGGUUUUCAUUUCUGUUGCAGACCUGAUCUGACAUUUAGACAUCCCAACACAACUCUUUGGCACAUGUAAUUUGCUUAAUAUCAUAGAAUAGAAUCAUAGAAUCAUAGAAUUAUAGAGUUGGAAGAGACCACAAGGGCCAUCGAGUCCAACCCCCUGCCAAGCAGGAAACACCAUCAGAGCACUCCUGACAUAUGGUUGUCAAGCCUCUGCUUAAAGACCUCCAAAGAAGGAGACUCCACCACACUCCUUGGCAGCAAAUUCCACUGUCGAACAGCUCUUACUGUCAGGAAGUUCUUCCUAAUGUUUAGGUGGAAUCUUCUUUCUUGUAGUUUGGAUCCAUUGCUCCGUGUCCGCUUCUCUGGAGCAGCAGAAAACAACCUUUCUCCCUUGGAUAGCUUGGGUGGUAUUCAACUAAGUUUUACUCAGUGUGGACUCGUUGAAAUUAAUGAGCACAACUAAGUUAGAGCCUGUCAUUUCAGUGGGUCUACUCUGAGUAAUACCAUCCCUUUAGUAGUUCCACAUAAGUCUUCUGCAUGCUUCUGUGUAAGUCUUCUAUGAGUCUAAGUCAGGCUUCCUCAACUUCGGCCCUCCAGAUGUUUUGAGACUGCAGUUCCCAUCAUCCCUGACCACUGGUCCUGCUAGCUAGGGAUCAUGGGAGUUGUAGGCCAAAAACAACUGGAGGGCCUAGGUUGAGGAAGCCUGGUCUAAGUGCUCAGCACCCCAAAGAAAAUAAAAUUAUAAAUUGGAUGGAUUUUUCCUCCCUUCCAAAAGGUAGCUAUUUGAUUUAUCUUCCACACCAAGGGAAACAUGCCCUGGUAAAUUUGCAAUGAACUGAGUUCCUUUUAAAACCUUUAAUAGCACUUGCAUAAGCAUAGAGCGAAGCUGCAUUCCCAGGACGCUUUUCCUGUUCCUUAGUGCUGCACGCAGAAGCAAUGCAAAUCCAGGUCAGAAGGUUAAUUAAAGGAGAACAGGUUCUCAGCAGCCACUGUUUUGUGUUUUAAAUUUAUUUGGAAACUCUCAAAUAUGCUAAUAGCUUAUUAUAGGAGACGUUCAUCUGGCUUGUCCAGAUUUCCCCAAAAAUAAUGAGCUUCUACUUUACACAUGCCAGCCUGGAGUUCCUGAUGAAGGAGGCGACAGCAAUUUAGAGAGACUUCCUUAUGUGUGAGUCGCUCCCUCACACACUCUUGCAGCACCUCCUCACACUGUCUUGGGGAAACUACCGACUAAUUCCUGUUGCUUGCCCUUUGCUUAGCACUGCAAGCUCUGGAAAGUGACCUUAAUCUGACAGUUAAGGAUAAAUAACUUGCCUUGUUUAUUUUUUUACUGGUGGGAGCUCGGAUGGUCAUUGCUAAACAAUGGUAGUCAUGUAUAAUAAUAGUACAUGGUACACAAUAAUGGCAAUCAUGGUUCCAUAAUGUCUGGGUUGCAGUCCUACCCAGACGUCUUACACAACACAGGCGGGUGGUGAGAGGCGAAGCGAAUAAAGAUUGGCUAGGAAGUGCGGUUUUAAAUGUUUCCCUUUAUUAAUUAGGACUCAAAAUUCUCAGGCCCUCCCAAGACCCAUGCCUCCCUUUGUAGGGGCUAUACUGACCCAUAAUAAUCAUGCAAAUCAUCUAGGAAUGACUCUUUUAUUAUAAUUUGAUCAUUUGCUGUGAUCUAGUCUGACUCUGUAUCAGGAAUUCUAUCAUUUUUGUCUGUAGGUGGAUUCUGCUAUGUAUGUAUACUCAAGGUUGCUCUAUUUUAUUUUUUGGAAAUCAAUAAAAAUAUAUUUUUUUUAAAGAGAAGAAACCUUCGAAACCCUUCCAGGGCCAUAGGGUUGUUAUGCUAAUGUAAUAGUUUUCUCCAAUUCCCCCCCCCCCCCGCUCAUUCUGAGAAUGGAAGUUUAGGCAAGGAUAUUGAGAAUUAUGUUAUAGGUUCAUAUCCAUCUCAAAGAAAUACAGUUGCCAGGAGAAGAAACCGCUGCUUCACCAGAUUAAUAGCUGUCGUACCCAUUAUACAGAAUGAGGUGCAAGACUGACAUGCAGGGAUGGGUACAUCUGUGACUUAUGCUUUUUAUCCAUUUCUAAUUUUUCCAAUCUUCAGUUCUGCACGUUUCCACACACGUUUGUGAAAUUUUAAAACAAUCCUCAUGAAAAUUCACCAGCAACUUGGUGCAAAUUUCUCCUGAUACAUAUCUGAAUGCAAUUUUGCCUAAUAAGUUUCUGUAACAUAAUGAAAUUCUUUUGUAUGUUAGUUUCAUUAAUGUAUACAUUUUUAGGCAUACUUGAUCCUAGCACUCGCAUUUUUGUACAUGUUACUUGGCUGGUGAACUGCAUUGCAAAAUUCAGGUAAUUUGAAGGAUGGCUAUUUUUGCUUCCUGGAAUGUUUCAGAAAACAUUAAUUAGGUAGGUUUGCCUUUAAACAGAAACCAAAUUGAUUUUCUCCUCCAUCCCUACUGACAUGGGAGCAUUCUAGACUAUACCACCUCAGUAGAGGGGUUAUUCUUUUUGAAUCCUUGUUCACAUUAAAAAAGAAAAAAUAACUCACUCUGGGUCUAUGGUAAACCUUUCCAAAUAAAAAUACUGAUUGCAAUGUGGCAAAGUAGUUACAUCAGGGAGAGAAGUUUAGCAUGUUUCCCCUCUCCCCCAACCAAAAGCAUUCAAAAACAUGACACCCACCCACACUCACCUGCAGUCUGAAGUGGUACAGCCCAGAAUUCUACCACAUCACUCUACCCACCACCUCAUUCUGAAUAUGCAGAUUGGCUCUUUAGCAUUGAUAUGCCCUGAGGAGAUGCUAAAAGAGGAGUGUGGGAGGAAAGUUCUGAGCUUUAAAAAUGGCUUGUCAAGCAGAUGAAGGAUCUGUUGGGAGGAGACUCAGAAGCCACAUCGUUCAUGGAGGGCUUGCUAUGCAGCCUUUCGGAUCAUGACCUAUGACUGUGCCAGCUCCCUUUCCUCUACCAAUCCCCUGCUUUCUUUUUUAAAAAAUUAAAUUAUAUGCAUGUAGGGGGUUACGAGAUGUUGAGAGAUGCUUCUUUCCCUCACAGGGAGUCAGAAAUUUGUGAACAGGCAACUCAGAUAUUUUCUUUGAGCAGCAUGUGCACCAGCAAUUAUAUGUGCAUUAGAAACAUAUUAUUUUGCUGGGGUACACAGAUUUAAAGACAAUAUAAUGGGAGUGGAUGGGGAAACCCAGCCAGAUGGGCGGGGUAUUAUGAUUAUAAUUACGAUGAUUAUUUAGAGCAAAUUUUGUGGCUAGCCCACUGUCCUUCAAGAACACAUACAUGAUAAAAAAUAGGUCCUUGGGAAAAGGCUAUUUCUUGCCUCCCUGCUGGCACUUGGCUAGGAAGUCCCUGAAAGCCUCCAAAAUGGUAUGUCUUGUCCUAAUUAUCCAAAAUAUGAUGGGGAGGGGAAAUAAUGAAUCCUUGCCCAGUAAGAAUAGUGCAAACAAGUCCAGUGCCAACAAUUCCUGCCCCCCCCCCGCAAUCCCAUCUGCCCUGAAUAUUAAACUCUAUGCCAGUUUUAAACAAGCAGCUGUGGUAACACAUGUUCAAGAGAUAAGUGAGACCUGCUUUAGCUUUGAGACUUAUCUCCAGCAAACUCCUAACAUGUGUUUUCCUCCCAAUUACCAACGCAUCUUGCAGGAAGAAGGCUCAUCAAUGCAAUUGAUCGCUGCUGCCUCAAGUCUGCAGAUCACCUCCUGCUAAUUUAAAUGAGGGUAUUUCGAGCACUUUGGAAGAUAGUGCUGUGUGGGUGUCCUUCCUAUUGCUAAAUUGAUAUCUGCGUCUGGGAAAUGCAGGCUUCAAGUAGGCAAAGAUAUACUGAAAUAAAUGUACGGAAAACACUUCAACGGUUAUGUACAGACG